This 208-nucleotide ribosomal RNA is filed under the name uncultured bacterium. Its description in RNAcentral is "partial 16S ribosomal RNA". It matches the Rfam family "Bacterial small subunit ribosomal RNA", at positions 568 to 776 of the family's 1533-position model. The record is from RNAcentral.
GUUGUAGGCGGCCAACUAAGUCCGACGUGAAAUCCCAAGGCUUAACCUUGGAACUGCGUCGGAUACUGGAUGGCUUGAAUUCGGGAGAGGGAUGCAGAAUUCCAGGUGUAGCGGUGAAAUGCGUAGAUAUCUGGAGGAAUACCGGUGGCGAAGGCGGCAUCCUGGACCGACAUUGACGCUGAAAACCGAAAGCUAGGGAGCAAAACGG